UGCGAAAAGGGGCCGGCCCCGUGGCAUAGUGGCGAGUGGGUGAGUAACAGGUGCGCGAUCACGCCCUGCCCUCUGGGACAAGCCCGGGAAACGGGGUCUAAUACCGGAUAUGACCAUCUAGGGCAUCCUUGAUGGUGUAAAGCUCCGGCGGUGCAGGAUGAGCCCGCGGCCUAUCAGCUUGUUGGUGAGGUAAUGGCUCACCAAGGCGACUACGGGUAGCCGGCCUGAGAGGGCGACCGGCCACACUGGGACUGAGACACGGCCCAGACUCCUACGGGAGGCAGCAGUGGGGAAUAUUGCACAAUGGGCGAAAGCCUGAUGCAGCGACGCCGCGUGAGGGAUGACGGCCUUCGGGUUGUAAACCUCUUUCAGCAGGGAAGAAGCGAAAGUGACGGUACCUGCAGAAGAAGCGCCGGCUAACUACGUGCCAGCAGCCGCGGUAAUACGUAGGGCGCAAGCGUUGUCCGGAAUUAUUGGGCGUAAAGAGCUCGUAGGCGGCUUGUCACGUCGAUUGUGAAAGCUCGGGGCUUAACCCCGAGUCUGCAGUCGAUACGGGCUAGCUAGAGUGUGGUAGGGGAGAUCGGAAUUCCAGGUGUAGCGGGUGAAAAUGCGCUUAUAUCCGGAGGAUUCCCGGUUGCAAACAGCC
This 646-nucleotide ribosomal RNA is filed under the name Streptomyces murinus. RNAcentral's name for it is "bacterial SSU rRNA". It matches the Rfam family "Bacterial small subunit ribosomal RNA", at positions 67 to 723 of the family's 1533-position model. Lineage: Bacteria; Bacillati; Actinomycetota; Actinomycetes; Kitasatosporales; Streptomycetaceae. The record is from RNAcentral.